AUUGAACGCUGGCGGCAGGCUUAACACAUGCAAGUCGAGCGGGGUGAUGGUGCUUGCACUAUCACUUAGCGGCGGACGGGUGAGUAAUGGUUAGGAAUCUGCCGAUUAGUGGGGGACAACAUCUCGAAAGUGAUGCUAAUACCGCAUACGUCCUACGGGAGAACGCAGGGGAACACUUGUGACCUUACGCUAAUAGAUGAGCCUAAGUCGGAUUAGCUAGUUGGCGGGGUAAAGGCCUACCAAGGCGACGAUCUGUAGCGGGUCUGAGAGGAUGAUCCGCCACACUGGGACUGAGACACGGCCCAGACUCCUACGGGAGGCAGCAGUGGGGAAUAUUGGACAAUGGGGGGAACCCUGAUCCAGCCAUGCCGCGUGUGUGAAGAAGGCCUUAUGGUUGUAAAGCACUUUAAGCGAGGAGGAGGCUCUUUUGGUUAAUACCCAAGAUGAGUGGACGUUACUCGCAGAAUAAGCACCGGCUAACUCUGUGCCAGCAGCCGCCGUAA
Molecule: ribosomal RNA, 503 nt
Filed under: uncultured bacterium
Lineage: Bacteria
Description: partial 16S ribosomal RNA
Rfam family: Bacterial small subunit ribosomal RNA
Source: RNAcentral